GCCCUUGAGUUUGAUCCUGGCUCAGAUUGAACGCUGGCGGCAUGCCUUACACAUGCAAGUCGAACGGUAACAGGCAGCUUGCUGCGCUGACGAGUGGCGAACGGGUGAGUAAUAUAUCGGAACAUACCCUAGAGUGGGGGAUAACUAGUUGAAAGACUAGCUAAUACCGCAUACGAACUAAGGUUGAAAGUGGGGGAUCGCAAGACCUCAUGCUCAUGGAGUGGCCGAUAUCUGAUUAGCUAGUUGGUGAGGUAAAGGCUCACCAAGGCUUCGAUCAGUAGCUGGUCUGAGAGGACGACCAGCCACACUGGAACUGAGACACGGUCCAGACUCCUACGGGAGGCAGCAGUGGGGAAUUUUGGACAAUGGGGGCAACCCUGAUCCAGCAAUGCCGCGUGAGUGAAGAAGGCCUUCGGGUUGUAAAGCUCUUUUGUCAGGGAAGAAACGGUUUGGUCUAAUACACUGAGCUAAUGACGGUACCUGAAGAAUAAGCACCGGCUAACUACGUGCCAGCAGCCGCGGUAAUA
This 527-nucleotide ribosomal RNA is filed under the name uncultured bacterium. Its description in RNAcentral is "bacterial SSU rRNA". It matches the Rfam family "Bacterial small subunit ribosomal RNA", at positions 1 to 525 of the family's 1533-position model. The record is from RNAcentral.